RNAcentral lists this long non-coding RNA (1098 nucleotides) under Homo sapiens (human). RNAcentral describes it as "HSALNT0023624". The record is from RNAcentral. Lineage: Eukaryota; Metazoa; Chordata; Mammalia; Primates; Hominidae.
UGAGGACAUAAGAAAGGACCAGCACAGAGAAGACAACUAACUUCGGCACGCUUUGCUCGAAGGGCUCUUAGGAAAGAAUUCUGAGUUUUAAAAACAGGAGUGGGAGGGUGAGAUAGUCCUGAUGAUUAAAAACUAACGCAACCGCAGUAAGUCACUUUGGCACACUGUGUCAUGUAAACAUAGCUCACCGCAAAGGACCCCUCCCCGGCCCACCCCUGCUCUUGACGCCCGGACCAUCCAAAGCCGCCUCCCAGCUCAGGGACAGGACGCCGCCCCCAGGGCAUGGGCCGCACAAGGGUCUGGGUAGACACGUGGGAUGAUAGGAAGGCUGAGAGGGCCUAGGGGUGCGGGCGGGGUAAAGGUGAAGGGGCAAAGGAUUCGUCAGAAAACGUGAUUUUAAAACGAGCCAGAUUCAUCCAUUUCCCUCCUUACAGUAGUAGCAGCUCGCAGGGGUGACGAGGAACAUUCCUGAGCACCCAGGUAGAAGCCAGGCACCUCUCCCCGUUAUGACUUUCAGUUCAUAACUGUCUGUGGUUUAACAGGACCCCAAGGCUCCUGUCUCCCGCCCUGAAUCCUCAGUGUAAAUGAGCAGGUAUUGUUUGGUUCUGACCCUUCCUAAUUCUUUCCCCAAAGCCCCCUGAAGCAGUCAUCUUGGCCAGGCGGGGUGUGGGAGGGAGCUGCGGGCGGGGCAGGACUCGCUGCCUGGCUGGAGCUCCCCAGGCCAGCAGGUGUGCAGGACUGUGAGCCAGGCCUGUGCCCUGGCUGACGGGCUCAUCCCUGACACUGCUGGCCAUUAAUUCUGAAGGCCCAGCGUGCAGGGCUCAGAUCACAAUGAAGCCAAUACUAGCGUGUGACAGCUGCCUGGCAUCAUUGGUCUGCCCUGUCGCCAGGGGGCAGCGGUAUUGCUGGCUCACACAGAGCUAUGGGGUAUGUCUUAUAUUCCUUAGAGAAAAGAAAUUUAAUGUAAAAAGACCCAAAGUGAUAUCUGUCAAAAUAAGUAACCGCUCCAGGUUCACAGAUACGCACAGCACGCAAGGUGGAUUCUGACGCACAGUAGGGACUCUCAGGCUGACGCCCAACAGGGAUGCCGGGGCCGAG